CAGCCGCCGCGGUAAUACGUAGGGUGCGAGCGUUAAUCGGAAUUACUGGGCGUAAAGCGUGCGCAGGCGGUAGUGUAAGACAGGUGUGAAAUCCCCGGGCUUAACCUGGGAACUGCGCUUGUGACUGCACAGCUAGAGUAUGGCAGAGGGGGGUGGAAUUCCACGUGUAGCAGUGAAAUGCGUAGGGAUGUGGAGGAAUAUCGAUGGCGAAGGCAGCCCCCUGGGCCAAUACUGACGCUCAUGCACGAAAGCGUGGGGAGCAAACAGGAUUAGAUACCCCAGUAGUCCCUGUCUCUUAUAC
RNAcentral lists this ribosomal RNA (301 nucleotides) under uncultured bacterium. Its description in RNAcentral is "partial 16S ribosomal RNA". It matches the Rfam family "Bacterial small subunit ribosomal RNA", at positions 509 to 807 of the family's 1533-position model. The record is from RNAcentral.